RNAcentral lists this ribosomal RNA (198 nucleotides) under uncultured eukaryote. RNAcentral's name for it is "partial 18S ribosomal RNA". It matches the Rfam family "Eukaryotic small subunit ribosomal RNA", at positions 1299 to 1458 of the family's 1831-position model. The record is from RNAcentral.
UGGUGGAGUGAUUCGUCUGGUUGAUUCCGUUAACGAGCGAGACCAACAUUGCUUACUACGGCGAGUUUGUGGCUGCUGGUGAACGUCUUGGGCGCGGUGGCUUCGGCUGUCGCUCUCCUGGCGGAAUCCUUGUCAGCAAGCUUACCGUUCUUAGCAAGACAACCGGCAAAAAGCCGGAGGAAGUUGUUGGCGAUAACA